RNAcentral lists this small RNA (873 nucleotides) under Drosophila pseudoobscura pseudoobscura. RNAcentral describes it as "GA30694". Lineage: Eukaryota; Metazoa; Arthropoda; Insecta; Diptera; Drosophilidae. The record is from RNAcentral.
UUGGUCACACUAUCAGAAGAGCGCCGCUUCAAUCAACAUUUCGUUGAUCAAACACACCAUUAUACUUUGGAGACUACAAAAAACAUACAAAUUGAAGAACCUUUUCGGUAAACAACUACAUGCGUUGCUAUUCAACAGUUUUCCCGCCACUUCCACAAAACAGCGAUAAUGGGUCCGCGCUCAACAAUAGAUAAACGCAUUUUGGUCAUAACAUGUUAUCAAAAUGGCUACUCAUAUGGCCAGAUCGGAGAUAUGGUUAAUAUGGCGAGAUCGUCUGUGCAAGCAAUUGUUACACGUUUCGUCCGAGAGAACCGGGUGUGCUAUAAGUCCAGGAAGGCACCGAAUAAAAUUUUUACGGAACACGAAGAAACAAUGAUCGUUUUAAAAUAUCAAAACGAAUCCAUUUCAUUGAAAGAUCUACUUGAAUAUGUGAAAAACAAAUUUAACAAAACGUGUAGUUUGAAAACAAUUCAUCGAGUGCUCCAAGCUGCACCUCUCGCAGGUGAUAACCUGCCGUUAUCCACCGAUGAGAAUAAUGAUAAUAACAAGGACUUCUCAACCAUAGAAAAUAACAAUAAUAACGAGGUCGGUUCAACCAGAGAAAAUAACAAUAAUAGCGAGGUCGGUUCAAUCAUAGAAAAUAUACCGAGCCGGCUGUCGUUUGCUAAUGAUCAUUUGUCAAAAAGCUCGGACUUUUGGGACUCUGUAAUAUUUACAGGCGUAGCUUCGUUUAGUCCAAUGUACUCAAAAAUCGGACUUAAGGAACACCAUGAGAUGAAAAGGAAAUAUAAAGGUGGAAAACUCGUCGUUUGGGGCUGUAUUUCCGCGGCCGGGGUAGGAAACUUGGUGUUUGUUGAUCGAGAAAUGACCAAA